CAUCCCUCUCGUCUUCGUCGGGAUUGGGAACGUCACACUCCUCUUGAUCUAUGCACACUGUUGCCGCGCUAGAGAGUGGGAGAGGGGUCGAUCGGACGGGAUGGCCGAGCGGAGUCGGGAUCCCUGAGGGCCGGGGAGGUCUCGGGCGGCCGGAAUCGCGGGAGAUGGAUGGAGCGGGAGACGUGGGUGGCGGCGCCCUUGCCUCCGUGGCGGAGCCGGCCUUUCCCGCUGCUUUUCACCCCUGCUCCCGCCAAGGCCUUAGAGGGUAAUUUCGUCAUGGGUGGAUUACAUAGCCCAGUAGCCCAAUACUUUGAGGCCACUAUCUAUGGUCCAUUGGCCACCGAUAUCAUUUUCAUUACUUUGGGGAAAAAGAAAAAAAACACUGCUCCUUCUCUGUUUUAGACACCUGAUGAAAUUGAACUGUUUUGGAUGUUGUCUUAAAUGUCUUAAACGUCUUGCAAAAGUGAACGGAGGGAGUGUCACACCCUCUCUCCCAGCCCCCUUGUACACCACUCCCUCCGUUCCUAAAUAUAAGUCUUUUAAGAGAUUUCACGGUUACAUACGAAGCAAAAUGAGUAAAUCUAUACUUUAAAGUAUGUCUACAUACAUCCGUAUGUAAUCCCCUAGUAAAAUCUCUAAAAGGACUUAUAUUUAGAAACGGAGGGAGUAGUUUUUUUCGCGGGCCCGCUUAUUUAUGUUCCCUGAUCGUUUUUCUAUGCGUUUCCAUGUGGAUUUCUACGGGUUUUUUCCUUGUUUCGUUUGCAGCUUCUUUGUUUUGUUCUUAAAUUCAUGAAUUUCUUGUAAAUCGGUUAUUUUUUUAAAUUUAUGAACUCUUUUUGAAUUCGAUGAAAAUAACUUUUUUCAAAUUUGAUCAUUUUUUGAAUUUGAUGUUUUUAUUUAAAAUGAAUUAUUUUUAAUUUUUUGGAAUAUUUUCGCAUUUGAUGAAAAAAAAUCAAAUUCGUGAAGAGAAAUAAGUUUGCGAAAAAAAUUAAUUCACAAACUUUUUUUUAUUUUCCCAAAAAAAUGUACUCUUUUCGUAUAGUUGUUAUCAAAAGUCAAUGAUUGGUCGAUCGGUCAACCGCCACCGGUCCAAAAUCUGAUUGAGGAGAAAUCAAUCGGUCAACCGCCACUAAUCUAAAAUGUGAUUGAGGAGAAAUCACUCAAUCGUCAACCACCGCCUGUCCAAAAUGUAAUUGAGAAGAAAUCGGUCAAUCGGUCGACCGCCACUAGUCCAAAAUGUGAAAGCAAGCAAAGAAGCCUAAUAGCAUUAGAGGGACAAACAUGGCUGUCAGAUUAAGCGCUAGCUAGGUUGCAGUGUGGCAUAAGAAAUGAAUCGUCCUUGACUCCUCAUUUUCCCCUUUCCCUGGGCGCAGUCGCUGGCCAAGUAAUUCCCGUGCGUAAACAAUGGAAAGGGGAAAAGUAAAAAAAAAAAUCCAGAGAGGAGACAUGAGAUUGCGGAUCCAUCGCCUCGAAUAUAUAGACUCAAAAGGAACUCACCAUUCACCAUCCCUCUCGUCUUCGUCGGGAUUGGGAACGUCACACUCCUCUUGAUCUAUGCACACUGUUGCCGCGCUAGAGAGUGGGAGAGGGGUCGAUCGGACGGGAUGGCCGAGCGGAGUCGGGAUCCCUGAGGGCCGGGGAGGUCUCGGGCGGCCGGAAUCGCGGGAGAUGGAUGGAGCGGGAGACGUGGGUGGCGGCGCCCUUGCCUCCGUGGCGGAGCCGGCCUUUCCCGCUGCUUUUCACCCCUGCU
RNAcentral lists this long non-coding RNA (1750 nucleotides) under Hordeum vulgare. Its description in RNAcentral is "long non-coding RNA (HVUL_LNC002611)". The record is from RNAcentral. Lineage: Eukaryota; Viridiplantae; Streptophyta; Magnoliopsida; Poales; Poaceae.